Long non-coding RNA from Drosophila sulfurigaster albostrigata, 580 nucleotides. RefSeq lists it as uncharacterized. The record is from RefSeq and is a predicted model, not a curated record. Lineage: Eukaryota; Metazoa; Arthropoda; Insecta; Diptera; Drosophilidae. The transcript has 3 exons.
UUGUUUCUUACUUUUAUAGAAAAUAUACAAGACCCGAAACGCUUGCAAAGCCAACAAACUGAUGUAGAACGGGGUUCUGUUGGGGUUCUUUUGGCUUUCCAAGCGUUUUUGGAGUCUUGUGUUCGGUUUGGUGCAAAGAGCGGACCCAGAAUCUGAGGCAUCAUCUCCAGCUACUGAUUAGAGCUGGAAAAAACCUCGAUGUAACAUCGAUAAUAUAGAUGUUGCCAAAAAUGUUGCAACAUCGACAUUCGUCACUUGCAACCGGGUAAAAGAGGAAGCAUCAACGCGUGGUAAGAAUUAUUGGUGGUGUUGGCAGGCAUCGUGGGAAAAUUAUGGACACAUUUUUUGAAAGAACAUGGAAGGUGUUUCUAUUGUCACCAUCGGCGUUUUCUGUAUCUGUCUGUUGGCGCUUUUUGAACCUUGUUUUCGGUUUGACACAACGACUGGUCCCAGCUACUGAUAAGAGCUGGAAAAAACCAAAAUUUCCCUUUAAAACACCGAACAUCGAACAUCUACUACUGAUCCAUCGUUCAUGUCAGUGACAACCACUAGAGAGGCUCCAAGCAACCCGAAACUAGAA